Molecule: ribosomal RNA, 433 nt
Filed under: uncultured bacterium
Lineage: Bacteria
Description: partial 16S ribosomal RNA
Rfam family: Bacterial small subunit ribosomal RNA
Source: RNAcentral
AACGAACGCUGGCGGCAUGCCUAACACAUGCAAGUCGAACGAGACCUUCGGGUCUAGUGGCGCACGGGUGCGUAACGCGUGGGAACCUGCCCUUAGGUUCGGAAUAACUCCCCCAAAGGGGUGCUAAUACCGGAUAAUGUCUUCGGACCAAAGAUUUAUCGCCUUUGGAUGGGCCCGCGUUGGAUUAGCUAGUUGGUAGGGUAAAAGCCUACCAAGGCGACGAUCCAUAGCUGGUCUGAGAGGAUGAUCAGCCACACUGGGACUGAGACACGGCCCAGACUCCUACGGGAAGCAGCAGUGGGGAAUAUUGGACAAUGGGCGAAAGCCUGAUCCAGCAAUGCCGCGUGAGUGAUGAAGGCCUUAGGGUUGUAAAGCUCUUUUACCCGGGAUGAUAAUGACAGUACCGGGAGAAUAAGCUCCGGCUAACUCCGUG